Molecule: long non-coding RNA, 107 nt
Organism: Octopus sinensis (East Asian common octopus)
Lineage: Eukaryota; Metazoa; Mollusca; Cephalopoda; Octopoda; Octopodidae
Exons: 3
Source: RefSeq, a predicted model, not a curated record
ACUCAGUUUUGCCAACUGAGUAGAUUGGAGCAACGUGAAGUGAAGUGCUUUGCUCAAAAAUACGACUCGUCGCCUGGUCCAGGAAUCGAAACUACAAUCUUACGAUC